AGAGCACUUUUAAUUUCUGACUCAACAUUUACAGAUUUCCAGAAGAGACAAGGGACUGGGACAGUGCCACUUCUCCAGUGACACUGGACAAACCAACAGUCCAAUUUCUCCUCCUCCAGAAAACAAAUACAAACCAAUCAGUUAUUUACACCCCAUGGACACGCAGCUCUCUCAAGGUAAAAAGAGAGUUUUUAAUUUCUGAUUCCAACAUUUAUAGAUUUAUAGAUAACAUUUAUAGAUUUCCAGAAGUGUCAGUGGACUGGAGGGUGGCAGUGGAUUGGAGGGUGACAGUGCCACCUCUCCAGUGACACUGGACAAUCCAACAGUCCAUCAGAUUUCUCCUCCUCUAUAAAAGAAUGCAAACCAAUCAGUUAUUUACAGAAAGUGUGGGAGAGAGUUCCUUACAAGAAUGUAAACAUCAGAAGGCUCAGAAAAACUUUAAAACCCAGGGUGACAGUCCCCCAGCAGGUUUGGGGAGCAGGACAGGCUGGGCUCAGCGUGGCUCCAGCAGGGAAAGGGGAGCAGGGACAGCACAGCGAGGCUCAGAGCUCUGAGGGCAGCUGUGCUGCUCUGAUUUCCUUUUCCACCUCUUUCUUCCCCCUCUUUCUGAGGGAGCUGGCCCAGCUGGAUCCCAGCAGGAACUUUUCAUUCCCUGUUAAUGAGAAACUCCUGCACUUUGUCCCUUGAAACGGAGCCACGUUCCCCACGUGCUGCUGGGGAAGGGCUCUGGCUGAGGUCACAGGAGGGAUCCAGAGGCUCCUGUCCCACACGUGGGUCCAGGGCUGGAUCAGAGUCUGGUGGAGCCAGGGAAGGGGAAUCCAUCCCCUCCCAACCUCCCCCAGCCCCAUCCUGGCUGGGAUGAGCCCAGCAGGCACAGGGCAGCCCCCACACUGCCAAAAUCCUGAGUCAGGGACUGCUGGGCUGGGGUGGUGGGGUUACUCCUUCCUCAGGGGGUGCUUGGUGUCCUGGAGCUGGGCAGUGGGGUCACUCCUUCCUCAGGAGCUGCUGGGUGUCCUGGAGCUGGGCAGUGGGGUCACUCCUUCCUCAGGGGCUGCUGGGUGUCCUGGAGCUGGGCAGUGGGGUCAUUCCUUCCUCAGGGACUGCUGGGUGUCCUGGAGCUGGGCAGUGGGGUCACUCCUUCCUCACCUCCUGGAAGAGCUGGAGCAGCUUUUGGGCAGGGCCAGGGAAUCCCAGAAGGUCCCAAGAGCAGAUUCAGGAGUGUGGUGGGAAGCAGGGAAGGGGAGAUUUCUGUUCCAUGAGCCUCAGGAGUGUUUUCCCUCCUGUCUCUGCUCUGAGCAAAGCCCAGUGCCCCAGGCUCUGCCUCCCUCCACUGUGCCAAUGCCUCUCAUCUCCAGCAGGUCUCUCUUUCCUGGACAGGAGUGCCCUGACCCUUCUGGCUCCAUCCCAGCCAGGAAUUCUCUGGCACUCCUGGCCCUGAGCUGGGAAGGGAAUCUGAUGUGAUUUCUCCUCUCAGUUCAUCCUGGGCUGCAGAAUUCCUCAGAGCCAGCAGGAAAUUCCUCACCCACCAGCAGCAGGAGGGAUCUCUCCAGCCUGGCACUGACAGCUCCAAGUCUGCCUGGCCUGGCAGUGUUGGCAGGGCAGCCACAAGCAGGAGCAUCCUUCCUUGUCCUGAAUCCAUCCCUCAGCUCCUGCCACGGUGCUCUGGGCAAACACUGGAGCUUCCCACUGGAGCUUGGUCUGAUUCCAGCUCUUGAGCCCCCUUGCUGUCUCCUUUUUGCUUCCCUGAGUCACCAGCUGACUGUGGAGCCCACUGGUUUUACUCUGCAGAAAGGCUCAUCCCAAACUCCAGAGUCACAGCCAAACCUCUCCAGCCUCUGGAGCAUCUGGAAUUCAGAGUUUGGGCCUUUCCUGAGGGAGGGUUGGGAGCUCUGGGAUUUGAGUCUCCAUUUUUUGGGGUGGUGUCUCAAGAGGUGCUGCUGAUUUCUCUCACUUGCCACAGAAAGGGAAGAAAAAUAUUCCCAGCUCUGGAGGCUUCUCAGCUUUUCAUUCCUGCUUCCCCCAGCUCCUUAAAGGGGGAGGGCGAGGGAGGGGAGCAGGAAACUCUCAGGCAGCUGGGAUUUUUCACCAGGAGCCGACAGAACGCCUGAGCUCGGCGGCUGCGCUUUGAGGUGGGUGGUGAAAAUGUCACAGGGGCUGGGCUGGGCUGCAGGGGAGCAGGGAGAGCUUGGAGAGCUGGGCUGGGGGAAGCCCCUGCUCUGAAAGGGCUGGGGGAGAGACAAAAAAAAAAACCAAAAACAGAGAAAAACAACAACCAAAAAAAAACAAAGAAAAAAAAAAGUCCAAAAAACCCCACAAAAACCAAUACCAAAAGGAAAAAAAAAGAAAAUAAAAAAGAAAAAGAAUCCUCUGAAAAGACUGACUGGAGAUAUGAAAAAUAUUCCUGUGAAGUCUGAUGCAGUGCCCGUCUGGAGCUGCUCUGGUGUCCCCCAGAGCUGUGGGAGAGGGCAAAGGGUCACCUGGAAGAGUUGGGUUUCCUUGGCCGGCCUCGUGCUCCUCCUGCUUUAUCUGAGGAAGGGAAUAUUGAUUUGAUUCUGCUCCUCUGCUCUGCUCCAUCCCCCAACGCCACAUCAGCAGCAUCUGCAGGAUGACCUCGAUGAGGAACAGAUUGUCCCCUGGCCUGCCUCCAUCUCCUGCCUGUGGGGACAUCAGCCUUGGGCUGGGGACAGGGGGAGGGGGAGGCUGGGCUGGGUCCAGGAGCCACGACUCAGGAUAACGUCAGCAGGGAGCUGGGAAGGGGUUUGGGAGCUGGGAGAGGGUUUGGGAGCUGGGAAAGGGGUUGGGAAAGGGGUUUGGGAGCUGGGAAAGGGUUUGGGAAAGGGGUUUGGGAGCUGGGAAAGGGUUUGGGAGAUGGGAAAGGGUUUGGGAAAGGGGUUUGGGAGUUGGGAAAGGGGCUGGGAGCUGGGAAAGAGGUUGGAAAAGGGUUUGGGAGCUGGAAAAAGGUUUGGGAGAGCUGGGAAAGGGUUUGGGAGAUGGGAAAGGGUUUGGGAGUUGGGAAAGUGUUUGGGAGCUGGGAAACGGGCUGGUAGCUGGGAAAGGGUUUGGGGUUACAGCAGGGUUUGGGAGCUGGAGCAGGGUUUAGGAAUUACAGAGGGGUUUGGGAGUUAAAGCAGGUUUGGGAACAGCAGAAGUGUUUGGGAGCUGGGGAAAGGUUUGGGAAUAAGAGCAGGGUUUGGGAGCUGGAAAAGGGGCUGGGAGCUGGGAAAGGGUUUGGGGUUACAGCAGGGUUUGGGGUUACAGCAGGG
Serinus canaria (Common canary) is the source of this 3263-nucleotide RNA transcript. RefSeq lists it as uncharacterized. The record is from RefSeq and is a predicted model, not a curated record. NCBI's taxonomy places the organism in Eukaryota, Metazoa, Chordata, Aves, Passeriformes, Fringillidae. The transcript has 2 exons.